Molecule: long non-coding RNA, 2358 nt
Filed under: Homo sapiens (human)
Lineage: Eukaryota; Metazoa; Chordata; Mammalia; Primates; Hominidae
Description: HSALNT0251368
Source: RNAcentral
ACUCAGCUCAGGUAUUCCUUUACAGCAACACCAAUGGACUAAGAGAAUGAAUCUUAAGGAUACAGACAAGCAAGGUUGUGGUUGUGUGUGUGGCACAGCAUUUACUAUAAAUAACAUGAAAAAAGAACUUUGUAUCAAAACUUUAUUUAUUAAACAAAAAAUGCACCAUUGGAAUAACAUUUCUAUAAAAAAAUGAAUAUGAGACUGUUCUACAGUGUUUACAAAACCCCCUUUUCCUUGUGUAGUAGUAUACAAGAUCAUGUGUAGAAACAGUCAUUGUUUUAAACUGUAAGCAAGUUUCCUUUCUUGUAGAACAAGAUUUACACUUAAAUAUUGCAAUCACUAGUCUAAUUUGGUUAACAAUGCUAGAAUCUGACAGUUUAAAGAAACUUUUUGUAGGCUCAAAAUACCUUUUUGUUAAAAAAGGUGUUUUGUAACAACAAAAAAUUUCUUUUCUCACUAAGGCUAGUUAAAGCUGUAGUAUACCCAUUUCUACCAAAUAAACUUAUCACUAGCACACUAACAAUCUGUUUGAGUUGCAAAGCCCUUUGAAUGAGUAGCACUGAUCUGCAAAAUGCUUUCAGAAUUAUUUAGGUUUGGUGUUAUCUUCUUUGAAUGACCCUAAAAAGGGAGAAGUGGCGAUGAUGGAACUUCAGUGAAGGCUUUGCCUGGACUGGACAUCUCUUCAUACUCAGCAAUGGACAAUUCAUUUCCAAAGUGGUCCCUCUGAGGUAUGGAACACUGCAGCUUUAACAGCCGUAUCUAGAUCCCAACCAGAUCUCCCUUUUUAUCAUAAAUUAUCCAAAAAGAAGCCACUCUAAAUAAUAAAUUAAAUAUUACUUAUAAAAAGUACACCCCAUACCCGCCCACCCUUCCCCCAAACAAGCUGACAAUUCACAAAGUUCAGAAUUGUCAGAUUUACCCUACAAUAAUAAAAAACAGCAUUUCUCCUCCUCUCCAUCAUUCCUUUCUUGCAUCUGAAAAUACAUGUUCAGCACACAGUGAGAUCCCUUGGCCCAUGCCCCUGUGUUUAUUAAAUCUUGCAGAGUUUUGCUCUUGCUCUUCUACCAACAACAAUCAUAGGAUGACAAUGUACAAAGGCUCUCUAUUGAGAGUAAGAGAAAAAAGUCCUUCAGAGAGUGCAACUGGAAGUCUGCCACGUGAACGUUAUGCAAUAGUGGCAACGAAGAGUCCAGAUGAGUAGUAAUAUUCAUUUGCUGAUAUGGGUGUGGUAUUUUGUCUUUUACAUAACCUCACUGACCAGGAAAUUGGCAUUUUUUUUCCCAAAUCAAUACUUUUUGGCAACAGGUAUUUAGAUAGCAAGAUACAUUGAGGCAUGGGUACAUAUAUUUUGCAUUGGAAUGGAAUAUCAUACAAAACACCUAUCUAUGAUUUUCCCAAGUAUCCAAUUUAAUUUUAAACACUAGACUCAAAUAAAAAGCUUUUCUGUACAAUACUAAAGUGAUUUCUGAAAGUCACCAGAGAAAUGCAAAUUAUGAGUAAAAUGUUGCUUUGAAUGUGAUUUACAAAAACAGAGACUUGAGUGUAUGGCUGCUUCUGCAUCUCCAGAAAGUUGUGGGCUCUGUAUAGUAUAUGGUUAUGAGCAGGUUAGGAUAGUAACCUCUGGCCUGCAGGACUGCCUGUGGUUGCAUGAAGGGAACUGAGUGAAAGGGAAAGUAACCCUGCUCUGCAUCUAUUUUAAAGUUCAGAUGACUUUGUUUUCUUUAAACAUGCCUGAAACUAGACAAUUUUUCCAUUUUUCUUUCUUUCAUUGACUAGAAAUGUACAUUCCGAAACCAUAAGAAUUCUGGGACACAAUUUUAUCUAAAAUGCCUUGGCCAUCAGUGAUGGUGAAAGCAACAGAUGUCAGAUGUCAGCCCCUGGCUUCCUGCCUUACCGUAGAGGGAUACUCGACAGACAGACUGGACAGAUCACUCAUGCUGGGGAAAGCCAGGUGUCAUGUCUUGGGGAAUCCAGGUGUUAUGUCUUAAGGACAGGCUGGCAGACCUGUGCAUACGCCCAUGUAGCGAGAAACUAGACCCUCAGCUCAAGACACUGAAAGAAACCUCAUGAAACAACUUGAAGCUCUGACCCUGAACCACCUAGCUAAACUGCUCUUAGAUACCUGAUUCUCAGAUACUAUUGAGAAAAUAAACAAUAAUUAUUUUAUGUUGCUACAUUUUGGGAGUAAUUUGUUACAUGAUAAUAGCUACACGUUGAAGAGCAAAUUAUUCACGCUCUGUUUUUCAGUUUCCUCAUCUGCACAAUGGAGUACCGAUUUUAUGAUGUGGUUGUGAGGAUUUAAGAGAUCAUCCACAGAGAAGUGCAACAGAGUACAGGGUCAGAAGUCAGCACCCC